AUAUGCAUGGCAGAGUUAAGGUGUGCUAUUGAUCCUGCUGGUGGCCACAGGGACAGCGCUGGAGUGUUUGUUCUGUCUGGACGCUAACGAGCAGCUAGAUCACUGUCAUCCCAUCACAUGUGCAUUGCACGAGGAAUGUUUUUUCGAGAGGACAGUUGACGUGGAUACAUUCCAAAUCCUACACAAUGCCGGAUGUCGAGAUAAAACGCUAUGUAGUUACUUGACGACGAUAACAGCGGGGAGAAAACGAAGGAGGGAGCUUGAAAUAAAGAGGAGUGGCAUUCUUACAACGACUCCUGUUGAGUACCGCGCAUGUUAUAAUUGCUGUAACUCGCCCGGGACCUCGGGACACCCAUGUAACGCUUUCCUGUGUAACCAGAAUUCAACAUCCGCAAAUGGUCGAUAAAAAUAGCCACCAUCACUCCUAAAAAUAAAUUCGUUAGCGAUAAA
RNAcentral lists this unclassified non-coding RNA (450 nucleotides) under Mizuhopecten yessoensis (Yesso scallop). Its description in RNAcentral is "uncharacterized LOC110466490, transcript variant X1". The record is from RNAcentral. Lineage: Eukaryota; Metazoa; Mollusca; Bivalvia; Pectinida; Pectinidae.